UACGGAGGGUGCAAGCGUUAAUCGGAAUUACUGGGCGUAAAGCGCACGUAGGUUGUUGUAUAAGCGUGAUGUGAAAUCCCCGGGCUUAACCUGGGCACUGCAUUAUGAACUGUAUAACUAGAGUUACGAAGAGGGGGGUAGAAUUUCCAGUGUAGCGGUGAAAUGCGUAGAGAUUGGAAAGAAUACCAAUGGCGAAGGCAGCCCCCUGGUUGAUAACUGACACUGAGGUGCGAAAGCGUGGGUAGCGAACAGG
This 253-nucleotide ribosomal RNA is filed under the name uncultured bacterium. RNAcentral describes it as "partial 16S ribosomal RNA". It matches the Rfam family "Bacterial small subunit ribosomal RNA", at positions 524 to 776 of the family's 1533-position model. The record is from RNAcentral.